UUAAAGUUGUUGCUGUUACAAAAGCUCGUAGUUGAACCUUGGGCCUGGCUGGCCGGUCCGCCUCACCGCGUGCACUGGUCCGGCCGGGCCUUUCCUCCUGGAGAACCGCAUGUUCUUUAUUGAGCGUGCUGGGGAACCAGGACUUUUACUUUGAAAAAAUUAGAGUGUUCAAAGCAGGCCUAUGCUCGAAUACAUUAGCAUGGAAUAAUG
This 210-nucleotide ribosomal RNA is filed under the name uncultured eukaryote. Its description in RNAcentral is "partial 18S ribosomal RNA". It matches the Rfam family "Eukaryotic small subunit ribosomal RNA", at positions 604 to 819 of the family's 1831-position model. The record is from RNAcentral.